CUUUCUGGAUUCACUCUAGGACUAUCUGGAGAAAGAGGUAAGAAUGAUCAGAUUCUGUAACUUAUUGCUUUUCCUUUCCUUCUGUACUAUCCCUGCACACAGAUCUACAGUUUGAAAGUACAGUAAUAAGAUCCUCACCCAGCCCCAUCCGCAGGAAUGCAUCAACAGCUGGCCAAACAUAAUCCAACACACAGAGCUGCCUUUGUAGAAUUAGUAACAAACAGUGGAAGGGCCAGACAGGCGUCCCAGAAGAGCUCCCCAUGACAACUGGGAAACCUCCUCACCCCCAGGGUUGAGCUGACUCCACUGAGCUGGGGUUGGAGAACCCCAGCUCUCACAUCUGAAUCUACAACAAGCCUCAAGUGCCUGCCCUCAACCUCACUAGAAGCUAUUCAGAGGGCAUUCGGCUCUCCAUAACAGCAAGUUAGAAGCAAGCAUUCUCCAUACUAACAACAGCCAUACUCUGCCUCAUGGCACAUGCCUUUUGAAAUGCAACACUGCAAAUCUCCAAAUCACAUGAACAGCAUUUACACCUGUACCUAACCAUCAGCUGUGAGCUGGUAGGACCACCUCUCGUCUUUAGAAAAUAAUUUCUUUUUGCAAAUUAUAGGCUGAUCCCGGCACUCUGAAACAUGUAAAUAUAACACUGUAUUCAUCUCCACUGAGCAUUUAGCAUCUGAAGCCUGUGGUAGCCAGCUGGUCUCAAAGUCAUCUGGGAUACAUUUAUUUUGAUUAAAUUGAUCAGAUUUCUAUUUACAGGAUAGAAUUUUUUUGCCAUUACUGAAUACAGCUGUGUUUACAGGGAUUUGUAGAAGAAGAAAACAAAACCCCACAAUCGGUCCUAGCAAAGCACAGAGCAUUCAGAACUGGAAGGAGUUAAAACAGAGGGGGCUUGCUUUCACAGUAAAAAGAAAAUUCUGCAUGCAGCUGCUUUGGCCAUGCUGUCUCACUAGUCAGGAAAUGGGUGUUGAACUGGAGCUGAAAACACAAGCUGCAAUCAAGCCCGAUCCAGCAAAGUGACAGACUUCCUGUGUAAAAUGGUCAGAAACCUUUUUUCAUGUCUCUACAUGCAUGCACAUGCAUUUAAAUCCAUGCUGCGAGGCUGCGAUUUUCUCUGGGGACACUGGUACAGUCACCUAGCCCAUCAGUUCCUUCGUCGACAGCGCCGGGGACAUCCAGACUACAAUUUACAGUUCCUCUAUCCAUGUGCUGGGUUAUAAAUUAUGCCAUCCUCCCUAGAAUGAGAAUGCACAGCAAGCGGCAGACAAUCACCCGGCAUUCGGCAUCUCUUUCUUUUCACGCGCUCCCUCGCUCCGCCUUUCUCCAGCUCUGCCUUCUCAGGCAGAUACAUCAGAUACCUUGUUUAUCCAUCUUCAGCUCCACUCUGAGGUAAAAUGCCACCACAUCUCGCCAUGGGUUGUCCCCCCAGACUAAAUCCCUGGGAACAGCCUGAGCUGGGUGCACGCGGCCGAGGCGACGGCUGCCCUUGCCCUGCGGAGCACGGGUGGGCAUUGGAUGUAAGGUAUUCCUAACUUCCCCUUCCCCAGUCCUUGGCGUCCUCUCUAGCCAUCCCACCCCAGGUCUUCUGCAGCUUCACCCUGUCCUCCAAGUCCCCUCGCCCAGCUGCGAGGCAGGAGACCCCGGCCGGAGCUCCGCCAGCAGGUCCUUCUUUCGCAGGGCGCAGACGCACGAUUCCGGGAUCGGGUGCACCACGGCGAAGCCCAGGCGGGAGACGGCAGGAGCAGCUCAGAUGAAGAAACUGAAACCCACAGAGAUGAAGUAACAUCCUCAAGAUCAAAAGGUAACAAACGAUUGAGGCAGGAUUUGGAUAUUGCUCUACAUGACGGGAAAGCCUGUGCUCUUGGAAUUACAGUCAUAGUACAACAGAUCAAGUUCAAAGCAUCAUCUAAGUCAAGGAAAACCAGUAAAGAGGUUUGGAGAGACAAACAGGGUCAACUCCAGGCAUUUGGGUCAGCAGAAACGGCACGAUUGAGCAGCACUGUGACUAUAGGAUCAUGGAUCAGAGGCUGCUUCCUCUUUGGUUCUGGGCAUCAGCCUCAUGUCCACUCAAAGUAAGUGGCCCCUCUGAUUGGAAUCGGAGGUGCCUGGGUCAUCUCACAGAGCCAAACAAAUACAAUUAGCUAUUGCAAAGCCUUUUGGGAAUUAUUCCCAGUGUAAAUAAACACAUAACCAUAUAGCAAGAGCCUUGAUAAAGUCCAAAAACAUGCAAACUUGGAGUAUCUAAGAGAAAAGACCACAAUGUAAAUGAAAAACCAAAUAAACUCGGGCAAACCAUAGGAUAGGGCCCUGUCUGUGAUGGCCUGCAUAUGAUGAGCCAUAGAAAAAGGAUGGUGAAUUCUGGAUAAUAAGAAAUGUCAAUGAGAUGCAAGAACCACCUGUUUUAUGUAAAGCUCCAAAUAACCAGAUCACAGUGGACAGCCACUCAAAUAAUGCCUUCAUAAUACAGAGUAUUAUUGAGAAUAACUCAGUUCACAGAGAGCUUAAGGCAGCCAAUAUUUGAUAGCCUGUCAGAAAAAAACAGAACAGUAAUUAUAGAAAAGAAUCAUAUCCUCGGAAAAACAAAAAUUAAUCAAACUAAGUUUGUAAAGUCUAUCUUACAGACACAUUGUCUGGACUGGUCCUCUCAAAAAUACUGUUUUUUUUUAAUGCCAAUUUGUUUAGUUAAUGAUUUUUGUCUUAUUACUUCAAAACUGGAAAUAUCCUAUGACUCAUAAUAUCUUACAACCUUUCUACUUUCUUAAAGAAUCUCAAGUUUAUAAUCACAGGGGAUCGGAUUAUUUUUCAAAAAUUAAAUGGUGAUGUAAUGAUUUCUGUGUCUAUUGUAGAAAAGUCAACCUUAUUACAGCUGCAACAAUGGCAUUAAGAAAUAUGAGUAAUUCCAAUCAACUUGAGAUAAUGUCUAAUCAAACACAAAUACAACUGGUAAAUUUCAUUAAAUAGCAUGGAGAUUAAAUUAAAACACUAUUAUGUAAUAAAAACCUUUAGUGGUACUAAAAUUUUAGAAUAGUUCAGAUAUACAGAAAAAUUUCAAAGAUACACAGAGUUCCCAUUUUUUUCCUAUUACUAACCUCUCAUAUUUGUCACAACUAAUGAAUAUUCAAUAGAGUAUUAUUAACUAAAGCCUAUACAUUUAUUUAGAUUUCCUUAGUUUUUAGCUAACAUUCUUUUUCUUUGUUCCAGGAUCCCAUCCGGGCCACCACAUUGAAUUUAUUUGUCAUUUUAGGUACCUCUUGGCUGUGAGUUUCUUAGACUUUCCUUGUUUUUGGUGACCCUGACAGUUUGAGGGAGUACUAGUCAGUCAGUUAUUUUUGCAGAAUGCCCUAAAUUUGAGUUUGGCUGAUGUUUUUCUUAGGGUUUGACUGGGGUUAUGGGUUUUGGGGAGGAAGACCACAGAGGUGAAGUACCAUUCUCACCAAAUUAUAUUAAAGGUACAUACCAUCAGCAUGCCUUAUACUAUUGAUGUGAACUUUGAUUGCCUGGCUGUGGUAGUGUUUGUCAUGUUUCUUCACUGUAAAGUUACUCUUCUCAUCACCCACUUUUCUGUACUGUACUCUUUGGAAGAAAGUCACUAUAUGCAUCCCAAAUUUAAGGAGUGGGAAGUUAUGCUCCACCCAUUUGUAAGCAGAAAAUCUACAUAAUUUGUUUGGCAUUCUUCUGCAUAGGAAAAUCAUCUCACUCUCCCAGUUAUUUAUUUAUUUGAUCUUUUUUUAUAUCAGUAUGGACUCAUGGGUAUUUCUUUUAUACUUUGGGUUAUAAUCCAAUACUAACACAAUAAAGAAAUUUUUAAUGGAGAUGCAUUCAAAUUCGUUGCUAAAAUGGGCCUGACACCUCUUGACCUUGGCUAAACAGAGAUUCUGGAUGGAGCAAAGCACUGUGACGUCAUGUGGACUUUGAAGGUUAAGAAACUACGGAUCAUCAGGACAUAUUUGCUCUUCCAUCUCACAGAGAAAAUGGGGAUAUACCUCCUCAUUCCAGGAAACUUUCUUCCUAUAUUUCUAAUAUAUCCAGGAUAAAAUUCAAUAUAUAUAGUCAGUAGCUUCAAAGUUAAGCAUAAUUUGUUUACUAGAAUUCUUAAGGCAGAUGUUGGAUCAUUAACUCAUUCUCUUAGAAAUAACUUUGGUGCUUAUAAGUAGGCAUCACAUAAUCUGAUACACUGAUAUUAUAUAUAUAAUCGUGAAAAACAUAUCAGAUUAUAUGAUAUCACAUAAUCUGAUAUAUGUGAUAUAUAAUCAGAUUAUGUGGUAUCAUAUAAUCUGAUAUAUAAAUGUUUUUCAUAAUUAUACAUAUAUUUCAAGUAUAAUUGUGAAAAACAUUUGCCAGUUUAAAGUUUAAUAUGUAGACAGAAUAAUGCCUGGAGGUAUAGGGAUAUAAUUGGGAAUUAGAGUAAUAAAAUAAAUAUUUUAAGUACUUACUACAUAUUACUCAUUAACACAAAAGUAACUUUACGUAUAAAAUGCAUGACAAGACUCCAUUAUAAAGAAGUGUCUGAAAGCUAUAGGGCAGAAAGGUAUAGAACACAGUAUAGACUAGAAGGAGAUAAAGACAAUCAGAAGAUUUUAUUCAUUCAUUUAUUCAACAAAAAUUUACAGAGUACCUCCAAUUAUCAGCAGCUGUGCUGAAGAUUAGGUAUAUUACCUACACAGUUACAAAUUUUGCUUUCAUGUAGUCUGCAGGAAGAGAGACAUUAAUCAAAGAAUGGCACUAUUGACACUUGUGCAGGAAAGGGUUACGUCAACAGGCCUGGGCUGCUCAAACCUUGCGUAUUCCCAGAGUCUCAAGACUGGUCUUGGCCUGGCUCCUGGGAAGAUUACUUCUGAGCCCUUGGCUGAGAUAGGAGUUUAUGCCAACAGUGUGAUUUAUGGCAAACACCUGUUUUUGUAUGCCUGAGGCUUUGGAUCAUGCUGUACCAAUUUGAUCUGAGGCCUGAAGACUGGUAGCUAAGGUGCUGCAUGCCUACAUGACUGACCUCCAGUAAAAACCCUGGACACAUGCCUCAAGUGAGUUUCGUUGGUUGGCAACACUUUACAUAUGUUGUCACACGUUGUUGCUGAGAAAAUUAAGUGUACUCCAUGUAAUGGCACUGGGAGAGGACAACUGGAAGCUGGUGCUUAAUUUCUCCUCUACUCCACGCUAUCCACCUUUUCACUUCGCUGAGUUUUUUCUGUAUCCUUUCAAUGUAAUAAACUUUAACCAUGAGUAUAACAGCUUUUUUGGGUCCUGUGAGUCUUUCCAGCAAAUCACUGAGCCUGAGAAUUAUCUUGGGGAUCCCCAACACAAUACUACAAUUAAAAAAUGAGGUACAUAUUCUAAAGAAGAAGAAUAUAGUUUGUGGGAGUUUAUAACAUAGUAACCUGAAGUAGACUAGGAGGUCAAGAAAGUCUUCCCCGAAAAAGAGAGGUUUGAGCUGUGAUAAUGGAUGCAUAAGACAUUGCUUAUAAAGGUGGAGAGAGCUUUCCAGCAUGAUGAAUUGCAUGUACAAAUCCUCUGGUCAGGGAGAGUAAAGUGUGUGUGAGCAGCUGAAAGUGACAUGCACAGCUGGAGUGGAGAGAACAGCAGGAGGUGGGAUGGGAGAUGUGUGGGACAGUCCUCAGAGGCUGGGCUUGGCAAACCAUGUGAAGGAUUUUGGUCAUUAUCCUGAGAGUCACGGGAAGCCAUGGAAAGGCUGGAAGCAAAGGGGGGCUCAGGGUGGUCUUCUGAAAUAAGCAUUCUGGCAAUGGGGGUUGGGGGGAGAACUUAUAGGGGGUGAUGAGUCGACAGAAUGAAAACAAGGCAAUCUCUUUUUAUAGAACUCAGAAGAGAGAUGAUGGUAUCUCUGGCUAUUGUGCUGGCAGAGGGAAUGUUGAGAAAUGGAAGCUUUUCAUAGAAAUUUAGUGGGCCAAAUUACUUUGCUGGCUUGUGCAAAUGACAGAAUGGUUGGACCACUCAUUGAAGCAGGACACACUAGGAGAGACCAGGUUUAUUUUUGUCAGGAUGAAGCACAAGAAUGACAUACAUUUGGUCUUGGAUACACUGAGUUUGAUGUGCCUUUAGAGUUGAAUAUGGAGAUAGUUAUAGGCCACUGAAUACAUAGGUAUGGACUGAUGUCAUUCAGGUUUCAUCCACAAAUUGUAACUACAGCUAUCGACUCAAGGGGCA
RNAcentral lists this long non-coding RNA (6156 nucleotides) under Homo sapiens (human). Its description in RNAcentral is "non-protein coding NBAT1:8". The record is from RNAcentral. Lineage: Eukaryota; Metazoa; Chordata; Mammalia; Primates; Hominidae.